Molecule: ribosomal RNA, 427 nt
Filed under: uncultured bacterium
Lineage: Bacteria
Description: partial 16S ribosomal RNA
Rfam family: Bacterial small subunit ribosomal RNA
Source: RNAcentral
UGGGGAAUAUUGGACAAUGGGCGAAAGCCUGAUCCAGCCAUGCCGCGUGUGUGAAGAAGGUCUUCGGAUUGUAGAGCACUUUAAGUUGGGAGGAAGGGCAUUAACCUAAUACGUUAGUGUUUUGACGUUACCGACAGAAUAAGCACCGGCUAACUCUGUGCCAGCAGCCGCGGUAAUACAGAGGGUGCAAGCGUUAAUCGGAAUUACUGGGCGUAAAGCGCGCGUAGGUGGUUUGUUAAGUUGGAUGUGAAAUCCCCGGGCUCAACCUGGGAACUGCAUUCAAAACUGACUGACUAGAGUAUGGUAGAGGGUGGUGGAAUUUCCUGUGUAGCGGUGAAAUGCGUAGAUAUAGGAAGGAACACCAGUGGUGAAGGCGACCACCUGGACUAAUACUGACACUGAGGUGCGAAAGCGUGGGGAGCAAACA